Cinara cedri is the source of this 206-nucleotide non-coding RNA. Lineage: Eukaryota; Metazoa; Arthropoda; Insecta; Hemiptera; Aphididae. The record is from the annotation of a GenBank genome assembly.
AACAUCAAUACUUAUACUUAGGUGUAAAUAAUUAUUUUUGUAUGUAAACAUGCUUUUGUUUUAACUGGCAUUGGGCCAAAAUUGUGCAAGGACCUCAGAAGAUUGUGUGCACAUCAGCAUAUCCUCCGGUACCACUUACGCGCUUUACUUUGAUCUGCAGCCAAGUGUAAAACACUUUACCUACCUGUUUUAAGUUGCAAUUUAAA